GUUUAUAAUGGGUGUGUAUGGGACGGAAUGUUGGGGCUAGAGUGAGGCAGCUCAACUGCUAGAGUGAGAGGAGCAAAAAAAAUAAUCUUAAAAUCUUUUUUAAAACUGCUGCUGUGUCCGCAGCGUUUGCUCUACAGGUAUGAUUUUACCCUCAAAACGUAGCCAUGGCUGUCCUCUUUCAUCCAAUGUGUUUACUAUUGUACUAGGUGUUAUGGUUCUUUCAUAAAUGUCACCAAUGCACAGCCUCCUCCCUCCAACUCUUCCAUAGACUCUAAUGUUAAAAUGGCUCAGAAGGUUCGUUUGAAAAUCAGAAGAGCAUGGUGUCUUUACACUGUCACCACGUCCAUAUAAUAAACUCCACAGGCAUGAAAACUGAGAAUUAGGUAGACUAGACAUGGCUGUCGCUCACGGUGAAAGAAUUUUGUCAGUACGACAUGUACUUUUCAUUUGGGAACGAUUUGUUUCGGCCUGACUUUUCUGUUCAUUUUAAGCAGCAAAAGUGAGGUGCAUGUCUGUGUGCGUGUGUAUGGAGCCAUUGGGUGCGGUCACUAUAGCAACCAGGCUCACACCUGCCUGCUUAACGAGCUCUGCCUGCCACUGUACCAAGAUUCAUCUUAAACACUUCUCUUUCAACUGCUGCUGUGUCCACAGUGUUACAGCCAUCAUUUUACCCUCAAAACGUCGCCAUCGUUGUUCUCUUUCCAACAUCUUGUCUUUCAAAGCUCAGGCAUUUAAACUUUUUAAACUGUGUGGAUCAAAGUGGAGGGAUCACAUUUUAGUCAUUCAGUGAUUCAAAGAAUAUGACCUUUUAAUAUUCAUUCAGAUGUUUUCUGACUCUAAAUGUUCUUUUCUCAUUUCUUAGGGUUUUCUAAUUUACAAUUAAAACAUUUUCAGCUUUUUUCCAACUUCUUCUUCUGUGUAACCUUCAGCUUUUAGCAGUUCAGCACCUUUGUUUUCAG
Long non-coding RNA from Astatotilapia calliptera (eastern happy), 959 nucleotides. The record is from Ensembl. Lineage: Eukaryota; Metazoa; Chordata; Actinopteri; Cichliformes; Cichlidae.